This 497-nucleotide ribosomal RNA is filed under the name uncultured bacterium. Its description in RNAcentral is "partial 16S ribosomal RNA". It matches the Rfam family "Bacterial small subunit ribosomal RNA", at positions 28 to 507 of the family's 1533-position model. The record is from RNAcentral.
GAUGAACGCUGGCGGCGUGCCUAAUACAUGCAAGUCGAACGAACAGACGAGGAGCUUGCUCCUCUGACGUUGGCGGCGGGCGGGUGGGUAACACGUGGAUAACCUACCUAUAUGUCUGGGAUGACUUCGGGAAAGCGGAGCUAAUACCGGAUCAUCUAUUGAACCGCAGGGUUCAAGAGUGAAAGACGGUUUUGCUGUCAGUUAUAGAGGGAUCCGCGCCGGAUUAGCUAGUUGGUGGGGUAACGGCCCACCAAGGCGACGAUGCGUAGCUGGUCUGAGAGGAUGAUCAGCCACACUGGAACUGAGACACGGUCCAGACUCCUACGGGAGGCAGCAGUGGGGAAUAUUGGACAAUGGGCGCAAGCCUGAUCCAGCCAUACCGCGUGGGUGAAGAAGGCCUUCGGGUUGUAAAGCCCUUUUGUUGGGAAAGAAAAGCAGCAGGUUAAUACCCCGCUGUUCUGACGGUACCCAAAGAAUAAGCACCGGCUAACUUCGUG